Molecule: ribosomal RNA, 87 nt
Filed under: Clostridium tetani
Lineage: Bacteria; Bacillati; Bacillota; Clostridia; Eubacteriales; Clostridiaceae
Description: partial 16S ribosomal RNA
Rfam family: Bacterial small subunit ribosomal RNA (bases 1-76)
Source: RNAcentral
GAAGGUGGGGUUAAUGAUUGGGGUGAAGUCGUAACAAGGUAGCCGUAGGAGAACCUGCGGCUGGAUCACCUCCUUUCUAAGGAGUAA